UGAGAAAAGAUGUGUGUGUCUCUGGUC
This 27-nucleotide non-coding RNA is filed under the name Homo sapiens (human). The record is from RNAcentral. Lineage: Eukaryota; Metazoa; Chordata; Mammalia; Primates; Hominidae.